Molecule: long non-coding RNA, 402 nt
Filed under: Felis catus (domestic cat)
Lineage: Eukaryota; Metazoa; Chordata; Mammalia; Carnivora; Felidae
Description: lncRNA (ENSFCAG00000048284.1)
Source: RNAcentral
AGGGUGGUAUUACACCAUCCCGUCAUGCUGUGCCCUCUCCCUGAAUCGACAGCCAGAUGGGCUCCAUAUUACCUGUGUUGGAAGGAAGAUGAACCACAGAUACUCUUCUGAACAGUAAACUGAUCCCUGAGAGCAAUCAGGUUCAGCAGAUUCCAUCCCAGCUGAGAGGAGAAGUCAGGGUACAUGGACACCUGAGCUGUGAAACCAGCAUAAAAUGUCCUGAAGAGUGGACACACGUCACACGAGAAGCAUUUUCGAUCCCUCUGGUAGAGGGGGAGUGCUUAAUUACCAUGUGCCACUGCUGUUAACCUCUGCAAAUAAGUCUAAUUAUCACAGAUUAAUGAACAGAGCUUAGGCACAUCUAAAGGGGCUUUGCUGAGGGGUUUUCAUUUCUGCAUUUCA